RNAcentral lists this ribosomal RNA (424 nucleotides) under uncultured Succinivibrio sp. RNAcentral describes it as "bacterial SSU rRNA". It matches the Rfam family "Bacterial small subunit ribosomal RNA", at positions 355 to 794 of the family's 1533-position model. The record is from RNAcentral. Lineage: Bacteria; Pseudomonadati; Pseudomonadota; Gammaproteobacteria; Aeromonadales; Succinivibrionaceae.
UGGGGAAUAUUGGGCAAUGGGUGCAAGCCUGACCCAGCAACGCCGCGUGAAGGAAGAAGGCUUUCGGGUUGUAAACUUCUUUUAAGAGGGAAGAGCAGAAGACUGUACCUCUAGAAUAAGCCACGGCUAACUACGUGCCAGCAGCCGCGGUAAUACGGAGGGUGCAAGCGUUAAUCGGAAUAACUGGGCGUAAAGGGCAUGCAGGCGGUUCAUCAAGUAGGAUGUGAAAUCCCCGGGCUCAACCUGGGAACAGCAUACUAAACUGGUGGACUAGAGUAUUGCAGGGGGAGACGGAAUUCCAGGUGUAGCGGUGGAAUGCGUAGAUAUCUGGAAGAACACCAAAGGCGAAGGCAGUCUCCUGGGCAAAUACUGACGCUCAUAUGCGAAAGCGUGGGUAGCAAACAGGAUUAGAUACCCUGGUAGU